GACCCUGGUGCUCCGGACGUCCGUGUAGCUGGUGAGCGCCGCCUCCAUGGACCGCACCACGCCGCUGUAGUCCCCGGAGUAGAACGCCUGCACCGCGGUCUCAUACAGGAGGUCGCAGGGCUCCAGGAACGUGGCGGAGGAUGCCAGGGAGAGCAGGAGCACGGAGCACAGAGCAGCCGGGGAGAAGUUCACAUCCAUCCUCUGCGGAGGUUCAGGCCGUGAGGAGCGAGCUUCAGGCGGACAGCGGGAUGUCAGUCACCGGGGCUCCACGUGUCCGGAGCUCCAGCUUCUCCUGCGGGGCUGACAUCACAGAGAGAGGGGGGGGUCCUUCAGGGAACUCCGCAGGAAGCCGCCUCCACACGGUCUGCUGAUCAGGCUCCAGCCCCACCACAAGUAUUCAUAAUGAAGGUCACAAACUUUGUUCAGGUGAUGGUAAAAGAUGCAGAUGGGAGGAAAGUGGAAAGAAAAAAGUUUGGGUCCCUUCUCCAGAUAAAGUUACCCGAGAUGUGCCUGAAAAAGACAAAUGAGCCUAAGAAACUAAAAACAAUCACAAAAUAGACAUUUAUAAUCCACAUUUAUUGUGAAUGUGUCUGUGAUGAGUUGUUUUAUAUUCUUUGUAACUUUGUUUUCAAACCGAGGAACUUUAUGAAUAACUGUGAAUGUUUUGAUUCACUGACUCAAUUAACUAAUUAACUAGCUAACGAGCUAACAUCUGUCCAGGGACUAAAGAUGACAAAUUGUUAACUAAAGAGCAUGUAUUAUUGGACACCAUCCAUGUUAAAUACACUGGAAGGCUAAAUAGGAGUUUUAAUAAAAAAGUUUAAAAUAUUUGAGUUGCUUGGUAGAUACUUUUGUUUUGUAAGAUGUUAAAAGCUCCAGAUGUGAGGAAAUUGGAAAGAAAAAGUCUGGUUCCCUCCCUCAAAUAAAGUGACCUAAGAUGUGCCUAAAAAAUAAAGGAGCCUAAGAAUCCACAAACAAUCCCAAGAUCGAGUUAAAUAAAUUAAAGUACUUCCAUAUUAAAUCCAAAUUUAUAGUUAAUGUGUCUGUGGAAGGUUAUUUUAUAUUAUUUAUAACUUUGUUUCAUACUCUGCUGAGGAAUCUUAGGCAUAACUUUAUGUUUAUAUUAACUAACGAACUAACGAACUAACUAACUAGCAUCUGUCCUGGGAAUUAAGAUGAAAAACAUUAUUGUUGACUUGGAGCAUUUGAUUAAGUAUAUUUAAUAAUGAGCAUCUAUUACUGAGACUAAGUAAAAAUAAAUAGGAUUCAAAUACGCAAGUUGAUUUGAAGAAAUUUCAGAAAGAUGAUAGUAUUUUAAUUUAUGAUGAGAUAUGCAGUUAUGUAUUAAUACUGGCAUGCUUGUCUUCUGGAAGUUUAUUUUUUUCAGGAGGUUCAGUCAGAUUCUGUCCACUGUAAUACACCGUCUCCCUCUUGAGGAAAUGUUUGGUAACAGCAUGAAAACAUCCAGGACAACAUUGAAUCUUUGAAGUUGAAUAAAUAAACCCCAUCAACCUGUUAAACAGCCUCUUUGACAGAAUAGAAAGAAUAGAAGCUACAGGUAUGUGGUCCAGCAGGUGUAACGCACCUCUGUGAACCAAUAAGGAGUGUUUGUGUUGUUUCAUUCUUCAUGUGAGUGUACGUGUGUGUGUGUAAGAGAGUUUAGUCUGAGUCCAAACUUUAAUCAGCCACCGAAAACUGACUGAAACAUGUCUGUGUGAUUGUUUAAAAGAUCAUAUCAAGCAAAAGUUUUAACACAUGUGACCUAACAACAAACUGUGAGAGUUAGUACAUGAGGAUUCCACAAUUAAGAGAGCAGAAAACACAGGAGACAGGUUUUAUGUGGAGGAAAUUUCCUGAAGUUGCGGUCUCAGAGAAAACCCACUAACUUUUCUCUUUACUGUCAUUGCUCAUCUGAAAGACUCUUAACCCUCGCCUAUGCACUGCUCUUAAUGUGCAGUGCAUCGUUUGAUAUUGUACCAUUUUAUAUUAGACAUUUUUGUGAAUUUGUGGAAUAAUGUUACACAAAUAGGCCUCCUGGAAAAGAUUCACAUCUACUGAGGUGUUUCUCUGAUACAGAUGAGUUCAGUUUGUAAAGACUUUAUUUGUAUCUGUGCACUGUAAACAAAAUUUACAGUAUGGACAUGUGAGCUGUUUACGAGAAUGACACCAAGAUUGUAGAACUUUUACAGAAAUACUUAUUUUAUUAGUUAAAUGUGUUUGACCAUAAUUAUCAUUAAUUGCACAAAGACACUAAAAUCAUAAGAGACAAAGAUGUUAAUUUGAACAAAUCUGCUUGUUUGUACAAAGUUUGUAAAAUACAUUUUAAAAUUUGUAUUUUAGAAAUGUAAUAACAAUAUCAAUACAACUCAACAAGCAGAAGAGACUAUAGUCCCUCCAGGAGAUUUCAUCAGGUCCCAGAUGUGUUGAAUUCAAUAGACCUACGUGAUCAAUGACUUAUCACAUUUGUGGUUGUUGAAAUUGGUUGAACUUGUGAAUGAUCUUUGAUGUGUUCCUCUGCCCUUUAUGUUUUCUAAUGAACAUACUAUAGUUUAAGGGAGUCUUAAUGAGAUUAAUAAUAAAACUAAAGUAACUCCAUGCAAGUCCAACUAUUCAGGCUGAACUACUUUCCUCAAGGAGGAGGAGGAACGGUUUAAUUCAUAUGUUCAAUAAAGUUGAAAACAGGGUGGAAUCAAUCCAAAUGCUCUGAGUAUGAAAAACAGUUGAAAGUUGAAUUGACCAGGAAGUUGACUGGUUACUUUACAUAGCGCCACUGCCACAAAUACCUCAAUUGCACAGUUUACCAUUUUCUCCAGUUUUAUUUUCACUUCUUGUCAGGAUUCAGGAAGUGAGUCACUGAGUCACUCCCAUGAGAGAUUCUAACAUGAUGCUUAUCUUCAUACUUUCCUCUUGAUUAUACAUCUGUUUUUGUUGUUUCAUUUUCAACGCGAUGUGAGAAGUACUACAAAGCUUUAUCGUUCACUAUUUAAGCAGGAGUUGUGAUACACAUAUUUUUCUAAGCUGGAAUUAUUCAGAAAUCCUCUCCCCUUUUCCAAUAAAUUCUCUAUUUGAGUGCACAGUGGUAACCGUUGUAGCAGAUACCAUUAAAUACCUUGUGUUGUGUACAAAUAUACAUAUAAAAGUUUACUUAAUCGUAUUUAAAAUCAUUUAUAAUGGUAAAUCUUUAUCUAUAAUCAAAAUGUGUUUGUCAGUAAUUUGCUGAGUUAUACAAAGAUGUCUAAGCAAUCUUAAAACAAGUUCAACAACAUUACUGAAAACAAAUUUUUUUUAUUUUUUCAUCUCAAAAUGUACAAACUGUGAUCUUUGUAAUUUCCGUAGAAUGUAGAAAAACAACUUGAUGAGUUACGGGACUAAAGAUGUGAAACCUUAGUCAUGAAAUGUACAACAUAAACAAACAUUCAAUCUGUAUAAAACUGAAGAGGUAAAGGGAAAUGACCUGUUCAGAAAAGUACACUGUAAAAAAAGUACAGACGUCCUGCUACACAGUGAAAAACUUUACAGCUCCACUGUAAACUAUUCAAACAAGUGUUCUUCACUGCAGCUGAGAAGAGAAACUUUAUGAUUUCAUAUGAAUUCAAACAGGCCGACAAAGUCCAAUGUGUUUAAAAUGGACGCGAGAAUAAACAACAACAUGGAAAUGACUGGCUGGAUGUAGCACGAUAUUUACAACAAUCAAGUUGUCCCCCCGACUACACGUAGUUGGACUUGGCGUUAGUGGUGGGCCGGUGGAGGGUGGAGUUUCUGGACUCAGGUGAUUCAGACCGUGAGCAUCGACGACAGCUCAGGAAGGUGCCACCGGCCAUAGUGAGGAGGCCCCCGACCCAGCUGACAAACACCGCC
This is a long non-coding RNA of Pleuronectes platessa (European plaice), 3858 nucleotides long. RefSeq lists it as uncharacterized. The record is from RefSeq and is a predicted model, not a curated record. NCBI's taxonomy places the organism in Eukaryota, Metazoa, Chordata, Actinopteri, Pleuronectiformes, Pleuronectidae. The transcript is spliced from 2 exons.